This 384-nucleotide unclassified non-coding RNA is filed under the name Hevea brasiliensis (rubber tree). Lineage: Eukaryota; Viridiplantae; Streptophyta; Magnoliopsida; Malpighiales; Euphorbiaceae. The record is from RNAcentral.
UGGUGCCAAUGUGGAUGGAUACAGGUAGAAUUAGUUAUCUACUUUAGUUUAUGGAAUAUGCCAUUCUUUAAUUGUAAUUAUUCAUUUUUUGUGGAUUUUGCCUAUUGAUCAUGAAGUACUAUAUUAAUUUUUUAAUAGUGUAGUUGGAAUGAGAUCAGUGAUAGAUCACAUUAAUUUUGGGAUGGUUAAUGUGCAGCCCUAUCUACAACACAGAAGACUGCUGUCCAAGUGGUGAUGUUUAUGAUGGGGGUGAUUUGAAUACUAAAAAUUUAAUUUGAUAUCGCAAAUGAUUUAUUUUUAUUAUUUUUCCCCAAUUUGUGAGAUGAAUAAAUAUUGGGAUUGAAAUUUGCAGGAACAGGGUUGGCAAUAUGGGCAGUGACACUA